AACUCUACUGAGAAGAAGGGUAAACUCACCCCUAGCAGGCUCUGUGCUGUUAAGGUGCAGUGCUCUCAGCACCAGAGGGAUACAUACAAUGUAUUUUGCUCUGUAGUUUAACACUUAGAAUAAAAUUCAGUUGGACCAUGCAGAUAUCAGAAAAUAUAUGGACUGCCUGGACUCAUGGGAACUCUUGAUCAAAGGUUCAGGAUAGUUGUACCUUUGUGAAAAUAAGGAACAUUCAUCCUCAUGGGAGGUAUCUACUACUACUUUCAAAAGGUUGAAUAACAAUUUCAUGUCUUUAUCUUAAAAAGAGGAAGACAUAAUAAAUGGCAACUAGUAACUUAGGUCCUAGGGGAUGAAAACAAAAAACAGGAAAUACAACAAAAAUUAUGGAAUAAUUUUGAAUAUAUAUGCUUUAGGAUUAUUUCUAUUAUCUGAAGGAUUGUAGUUUUUUUUUUUUUUUUUUUUUUUUUUUGCCAUCACUAAAAAAUUAUUACAUAUAAAUCUAGACUUUUUUUUUUUCUUUCUCCCCUCCACUGCAAUUCUUGUCAGCCUACAUUUUAUAUGAAUAACACACAAGCUUAAUGAUAUACCCUCUAGUAAAAUGCACACACAAAGCUUUCCAGCAUGAGAUGAGCUUAUUAAUUCUGAAUCCAAGCAGUGAUUCUAUCCAAUAGGCUUCAUUAAGCUCUGUGACAGCUUUAGGAAAGAAAAAAACAAACAAACAAACAAACAAAAAAAAAAAAACAAACAAAAAAAACUUUCCAUUUGUUAUAAUACAGAAUGUUCCAGAUGCAAAAUUGGUAAGAAGGUUAAGGGAGAAGAUCCAGUGAGUGGGAAUGUUCUGGAUAUCAGGCACGUCAUUCAAACAGAACAAUGCCGUGGUCGCUUCAGUUAACUUGUGGCUUGGGUGUGGCUCACUGCUGCUUUUGCAUCCUUUUCCAUUCCUUUCCCAGUGGAGGACUGCCUUUGAAAGCAGCUUUGUGGAAACCAUCUGUGGAUCCCUGGAGAUGAAAUUACCCUAUCAUGUGAAAGUGCUUGGCACUCACAAUCCAUCUCAGCUACUAUUACUGUACCCAUUUUACAGGCUGGAAAACCCAAAGCUCAGAGCAGCAAACCACCAUGUUCACAUUUACUCCCAAAUGAGCAGAACAGAAAAGAGAUCCUUGUCUCUUCUUUGCCUGCUGUCUCCUAACUUCUACCACAGUACAUAUAAUUUCAAAC
RNAcentral lists this long non-coding RNA (1218 nucleotides) under Anas platyrhynchos platyrhynchos (common mallard). RNAcentral describes it as "lncRNA (ENSAPLG00000023406.1)". Lineage: Eukaryota; Metazoa; Chordata; Aves; Anseriformes; Anatidae. The record is from RNAcentral.